AGUUGCAGCAGGCAAGGGAUGGAGAAAUGAGGCCUCUGGGAAUGAAAGUGUGGAGUCAGCUUUGGGCAAAUGGAAAUUGAAUGGAAGGAGCAUCUCAGGAAGAAGGCUAAGAAGGCAAAACAGAGCUUGCAUUGCAGGAGGCAGACUUCAGACCAGGCUUAGGGUGAGGGAACAAAGACGUCUCAGUGCCCCGGCUGAGAAAUUGGACAAGAAAGACGGGACCCGUGCUCCCCUACAGGAGGUGGGCUGAGGGCAGAGCUGUUUGCCUGGCAGAGGAGGAGCAAACAGCCAUGUUGUAAAUGGCCUCUGAGGAGGACUGGCCUCUAGGAGUUGAGGACCUCAAGCCUACAUCUGCAAGGAAUUGAACGAUGCCAAGAACCCGAACAAACUCUGAAGAUGAGAAUGCGGCCCUGUGCCAAGACUGGCUGCCUUCCCCUGUUUCUGUACCACACUGGUUCCUGAAGCUAUUUGAGUUUGAGACUGCUGGGGUAACCUGACCCACUUCAAGGAUCUGAAAGUAUUUUACAGUUGGUUGAAUCCAUGGAUGUGGAACCCAUGGAUGUGAAGGACUGACUGUACUUUGCACUAGUGGUUCUCAAAGUGUGGGCCCUGGACCAGUGGCAGCAGCAUCACCUGGGAACUUGUGAGAAAUGCACUUUUCAGCUCCUGUUUCAGAUGGACCUAUCAGAAUCUCUGCAGGAACAUUUUGAAGUCCCCUCAUAUACAAUGAAAUGAUAGAUUUGUCAACACAGAUAAAUCUCAAAAACACAAUAAGUGAAGAAAGUAAGUUGCAGAUGGAAAUAAUAUGUGAUGGUCAAACAAUCUAGAUGUUUCCGUGAAGGUGUUUUUGGAUGAGACUAACAUUGACAUUGGUGGACUUUGAGUAAAGCAGGUUGCCUGCGUGCCAUAAUGUGGGUAUUCUCAUCCAAUCAGUUGCGGGAUUUAACAGAGCAAAGACUGAGGUCCCCUGAGAAAAUAGGAUUCCACCAGCAGACAGCCUUCAGCCUUGAACUGCAGUGUCACCUCUUCACUGGGCCUCCCAACCUGCUGACACUUUGAUCUUGGACUUCUAGCCUCCAUAACUGUGUGAGCCAAUUCCCUAAAAUAAAUCUCUCUCUGUACACAUUCUAUGGUUAUGUU
This 1140-nucleotide long non-coding RNA is filed under the name Homo sapiens (human). RNAcentral's name for it is "HSALNT0314767". The record is from RNAcentral. Lineage: Eukaryota; Metazoa; Chordata; Mammalia; Primates; Hominidae.